RNAcentral lists this ribosomal RNA (648 nucleotides) under Triticum aestivum (bread wheat). RNAcentral describes it as "partial small subunit ribosomal RNA". Lineage: Eukaryota; Viridiplantae; Streptophyta; Magnoliopsida; Poales; Poaceae. The record is from RNAcentral.
AUGUGUAACCUCACGUCCCUAGAAGUGCUAGACGGACUGCUGGUAGGCCAGUUAUCUUCAGGCAAUUUUAAUCAAGACACUGCAAAAGAGUUGGGCCAACUGACCAAGUUGAGUGUGCUCCGGUUUAAAUGGAGAUGUAUCAAUGACACCACUGAUAAAACUUUGGUUGAGUCCCUAAGUAACCUGCACAGAAUACAAAAUCUAGAUAUUUGUGCAGAUGGCGGUCGACAUGUCGAUCUCAUGCGUGAAGGCUGGGUUCCUCCCCCACAGCUCCAUAGAUUGCAGUUUCAGGGAACCACCUGCUCAUUCCAGACUCUGCCAACAUGGAUUAAUCCUUCAACGCUUCCUUUACUUUCUUACCUGGAAAUAUGGGUGGAGGAAGUGCGACCGGAUGACAUUCUGCUCCUCGGGCUGUUGCCCGCUCUGCGCUCUCUCUCCCUGGUGCGCAGUACUACAUUCUCAGGGGGGGCUGCAGUGGAAAUGUCAGUCGUCGCCGCUGAUGCAUUCCCAUGCGCGACGGAGUGCCGCUUCAUCGGUGUCGCCGCAGUGCCAUCUAUAUUUCCACAAGGAGCUAUGCCAAGGGUUAAACUCCUCCGCUUUGGCUUCCCCGCCGUGUGGAUUUCCCGUGGCGACUUUGAUUUCGGCAUG